This is an RNA transcript of Sorex araneus (European shrew), 849 nucleotides long. RefSeq lists it as uncharacterized. The record is from RefSeq and is a predicted model, not a curated record. NCBI's taxonomy places the organism in Eukaryota, Metazoa, Chordata, Mammalia, Eulipotyphla, Soricidae. The transcript has 5 exons.
UGUACGUGGAGUGAGGCAACCUGGGAAAUUAUGGAGUCAGAACACAUUGAUUUUCCCGCAACGGAUGCAGGCGGCAGCCCUGAUGAAGAAUUACAGAGGAAAUGCAAUAACCUAAUUCUCCUCCACGCCGCCGGCCCCCGCCACACCUGCAGGCCUGAGCUUACCUGCUCAGGUUCCAUUCCCGAGACACGGCUGCACAGGACUCGCCCGCUGCCUGCGUCCGAGGGUCUUCUGCAGAGGGGGAGAAAAGCAAAAUGCUCCGAUGGGUGGAUUUACACGGCAGCCCUUCCGGUCACGGAGCACCAAGCGGUCACUAAGCCCUGGCUUUUAUCUCCCUGUGGCUGCAGGAGAAGGGGAAUCGCUUUCCCAGCAUCAGCCGGGGAAGACAGCCUGGGAUGAUGGCAGGGGGGAACAUGAGCAUGGGGUGGACCUGCUUGGGCUCGGCUUCACCUGCCUCCUCCCCUCCCCCGGCCCCCGCACCCCCGCCCCACCUCCCCGAACCCUCUCUGAGCAGGGGCCACCCAUGGAGCGGAACCAAUACCCAGGAGCGGCUGGCAAGGUGUCUGGAGUGAUCCAAGUCAGAGAAAAACCCAUUUCUACACCCCAAAGAGAUGGAACGCUCUACCACGGACCCCCAAGAGCCUGCCCUUCCGGCGAGGGGACCCCCCCUUUCCUGCUCUUGAACCCACAGUCUUGCCUUCAGGAGCUCCUCACUCACGCCUGCCGCCUCGGGUCCACAGAGCAAGUGACCCGUGGCUGGUUCACGCUGGAAUGGAUUGUCAGCACAAAAUAUACACCACAUUCUCAAGACCUGGCAUGGGUGGGGUGGGGGUGGAAUAUAUAAAAUAA